GUAGGUGGCAAGCGUUGUCCGGAAUUAUUGGGCGUAAAGCGCGCGCAGGCGGGUUCUUUAAGUCUGGUGUGAAAGCCCACGGGCUCAACCGUGGAGGGUCAUUGGAAACUGGAGAACUUGAGUACAGAAGAGGAAAGCGGAAUUCCACGUGUAGCGGUGAAAUGCGUAGAGAUGUGGAGGAACACCAGUGGCGAAGGCGGCUUUCUGGUCUGUAACUGACGCUGAGGCGCGAAAGCGUGGGGAGCAAACAGGAUUAGAUACCCUGGUAGUCCACGCCGUAAACGAUGAGUGCUAAGUGUUAGGGGGUUUCCGCCCCUUAGUGCUGCAGCUAACGCAUUAAGCACUCCGCCUGGGGAGUACGGCCGCAAGGCUG
Molecule: ribosomal RNA, 373 nt
Filed under: uncultured organism
Description: partial 16S ribosomal RNA
Rfam family: Bacterial small subunit ribosomal RNA
Source: RNAcentral